UUGCCAAAUGUAUUGUUGUAGUGUCACACAAAGAAGUUACAAAAUUGAUGUUGAUUCAAAAGUGAAGCUAUAUGUGUAGUUAGAUUGGAGAUGGAAAGCAAUUUCAGUAUUAUGAUAAAAACUAUUGUAGAAUAGAUAUUAGUUCGUUUUUGUAAGAUAUGGAUAAAAUAGAUUAGUAGUACAUAGAAUAGUCAAUUUAGGAGGAUGGAUGGUUGAUUUAGUUAUUGAGAGUGGUUAAUUACAGGAUUAUGGUUAGGAUCUGGAAAUCAACAGCGAUUAUAUAGGAGUUGUAGAAGUUUUUUGGGGGGCCAGACUGUGAUAGUCAUGAGCCAGAGUUAUGCU
This 342-nucleotide long non-coding RNA is filed under the name Physcomitrium patens. RNAcentral's name for it is "long non-coding RNA (PPAT_LNC011318)". The record is from RNAcentral. Lineage: Eukaryota; Viridiplantae; Streptophyta; Bryopsida; Funariales; Funariaceae.